Molecule: long non-coding RNA, 2141 nt
Organism: Mangifera indica (mango)
Lineage: Eukaryota; Viridiplantae; Streptophyta; Magnoliopsida; Sapindales; Anacardiaceae
Exons: 2
Source: RefSeq, a predicted model, not a curated record
AUUCUCUUAAUUUGAUUGUGUUUAUUUUUUUGGUUCUAGGAUUUUAUUUUGAUGGGUGAUCAUUGAUUUGUGUGCUUGAUUGAGGCUUUAGAUUGUCGAAAAUUUUUUCAUUUUAAGAUUGGUUUGAGUAAUUCCUGGGAAGGUUUAGUUUUGUUUUUGUAUUGGAAUAGGUUGAUCAUCAUGAAUGUAUUUUUGAGUUUCGUGAAUUGAAGUUUAUUAUGCUUUUAGGGUUUGGUUUUGAUAUGAUCCGUUUUAUGGAGCAUGGGAGGUAUUAUAUUUACUCUGUAAUAAAUUGAUUAAAGAAUGAAACAAUCUGAUAACGCUCUCUCAACUAUCAAUUUUUUCAGUAUAAAAUAAUUUUCUUAGCUUGAUUGAGUUUUUGAUUCUUGGAAAGUUUUGUGAAGGUUUAAUUUAGUGUUCCUGAGUUUGGUUUUGUUUUAUUUUGGUAUCGGUUGAUUAUCAUGAAUUGAAACUACUGGGUUAUUAUAAGUUUUUGGUUGAUGUUUUGAUCCUUUAAUGGUGAUUUCUUUGCUUGACAUGAUCCAUUUUAUGCUAGAUUGAAUUGCUUAGAUUCUCAAAAUUACAUUUAGUCGCUUGCUUUUUAUUCAUAAGAGUUAAUUAAUUGUGUUGAAUAACUUGAUCUGUUAAAAAAGUUAAGGUAUAUGGUUAGAUUUGGGCAUGUUUUUAUCCAAAGCUAUUGCUAAGGUUCUUGAGAAUCAGAUCCCAUUUGUGGUAAUGAACAAUCUGUAAAGUGGUUACAUUGGUUAAAAAAUAGGUUUAAUUUAUUCUUUGAGUGGUAAUUGGUUAAAUCUUCAGUGGACUUUGGCACUGUUUUAUGAUCGUAUUCAAGUAGUGUGUAAUGGACUAGAGUCUAUGUUCUUAUUAAUGUCCAGAAACCUGUACUAACUGGAGACGUGAAAGAACUGUUGCAUGCACUAAUCAUGGUUUCAUAAAUCUUAUUUUGGUUUAUAGAUGGUAAACAUAUGUCUGAGGUGGAUUUGAGUUUAAAACCAGGUGCACUCAUCUCAUAGCCUGCUUGGGACCUUUUUUUUUUUUCUGUGGCUUUUUAGGUAUGUGCCAUUGGGGUUUGAGUACCCGUUAAAUUGCCAUCCCAAGUAUUUAGUAGUUUAUCUGGUUUCUCAUUAUUUAAUCCAUAACCUUAUUAGUUCUUCUGUGAUUGUUGUUGUACAUAGAAUGGUGACAUGGUCUUUGUCUGCUUGCGUACAAACUAGCUGCAGGCCACAUUUAUUUCACUGCGGGCAGCAAGCAUGCUUAUGCAGAAUAAAUCUAUGAAAGCUUAUUUGGAAGUCUUUCUGCUAUUAUUUGUUGCUUAUUUAAGUGGCCGGAUGGUAUGUAACUUUUGCAAAACAUAUUCUAUUGGUCAUGAAACCUAAAAUGCUUCAAUAUUUUUUUGUGAUAGAUGCUCACUAUCCCGUAUUGGUCAUGAAUGUGCAUUCAGUAAUGAACCAGUAUGAUAUCGGAGUUCUCAUAUAACUUCGGAGGCCUAAUGAUGCUCAUUCAGUGGAGCUAACUGUGUAGUUUCAUUGCAUCAUUGCAGGAACUGAAGCUUGAGUGGCUAGCAAUUGCCAUUGCAACUUUAGCUAAGAGAUACCCCUAGUAACAAUUAUUUGUCUUAAAGAAUUUUUAUUUAUGUUAAGAUACAGAACUGUAAACUACAAUAUAGUUGUGGUGUUUUCCAUGAUUGCAGGUUUCAGUUGGUUGAUUUAUCUGUGUUUAGGUGCACACGCAAAAUGCAAUUGAAAGCUAAGGGGUUAACAGGGAUUUCUCCAGCGGAAGUGAGCCUUGCAGUGUGCAACCAAGCAAUCAGUCUGAGAAAGUUUACCAGAAAAAUAAUCUUUACAGUGUUAGGGCUGUGCUAAUCGAUUUUACAUUAUAAUCUCAGUUCUCAGGCUACAACGAUCAUCCUUUCACAUAAAGGAAACGACUAAGAUCUGUUCCAAAUGAUUGUGCAUCACAAGUUCAGGCACUCCAUUGUUACAGUUGCCAUUUUCUUGUCCAGCAAAGAGGCAAAAUCCCAACAAAUUUAAAAACGAACUUGUAACUCGGUGACAUCUUCCAAUCUUUUUGUUUAUUUGUUGCAACUCGACCUUCAAACCAUUGGGAUAUCAACUUCAAAACAA